GGAAAGGUAGGGAGGUAUGGAUAUGGACAAGCUAUGCCAAGGAGCAGGGCUUUGUCAUGGAGAGUGACUAGGUGCUUUUACAUAGGAAAGUCACCUGAUAAUAUUAAAACCUGUGAAAUAUCACUCUGGUGGAAGUGUGAAUGAAUUUGAAAGGGGUGUAACACUGUUCUACUUUGUUUACUCCUCAGUACCCUUGGCUGUGUACAUUUGAGUAAAGAGAGCACUAUAAAAUCAAAAACCAAUGAAAUGGUUUCCAGAACACAGAACUAUUAAGCUUAAGAAAAGGACAGAAGGAACUGAAGAGAGAGGAACUGUUUUGGAGCAUCACACUUCCACCUCAGAAGAAAUAAGGAAGGAAGGAGGAGGGUGUUCCCACGGCUCUUCAACCAGGCCGGCUCUUCAGCCUACAUCCCCAUCUCAUCAAGUAAAAGGGAUUUUUCAACUGGACCAACCAGAUGGUUUAACAGUGCACUCCCACACCAUUCAACUACGCAAGGGAGAUACACUUAACAUAUGCAGUCGUAUAACACCUACUAACAUUUUCAAACAUUAAACCUUUAAAAAAGAGUUCUAAAGAAAUAGAAGCUUGAAGUAUCAUCUCUCAAGUAUAUAGACACUACUUCAUGGUGUGGUAAUAUAUGCAUAUAGAAGCUAGUAAACACCUCCAGGAGAUGCAAAAGGAAUUAGAACUGCCACAAGGUGCAAGCAAAACCUUGAGGUAAUCAAUCUGCAUCCCAUUUUGGAUGAGAAUAUUUGCAACUUUGAAGGUUAUUUUAAGGACAGCAGCAGAAGAAUUAUGGCAGCUCUUCACGGAAAAAAAAAUGGCAACAAUAAAAUCAGCAACUCCUGCCAAAUAAAUGGGCAUAAAAAAGAAAUCAUAGACUGCUGGCAAUGGUGGGGAAAAAGUUAUAAAAAUUGUCUCUGCACCAUCUUCCUUUUGUCCUCUAAAAUAUUCACAUUAGCAAAAGUAUAUAACAGCUGAUGAAGAAAUACUGAUAAUUUGUCUUUCUUCUUUAAAAUAUGAAGACUUCGAAGUUAUUUAUCCAAACCAACCUGAUCAUUUCUUAAGAGUGAAUAUACCUUGGAAGACGUGUCCUGCCUUUAGUAGCGUCACAAUGGAUUACAUCCUCUAUAAAGCAGUCUGGGGUGAGAAAAUCGAAUUUGGACACCGUUGAGGAGACUAUUGCAGUCAUCCAAGCUCAAGAUGGUGGAGCUUCAUCCUUGAGAAUAACCAAUGGGGAUAGAUUUAAGAGACACUUAGAGUCUGCAGCCAACAGGGCUGAAUGAGCAGAGAGUUAUGAUUCAGAAGAUCAUCUAAAAUUGAACAGCUGCCACUACUGGCAAUAAGUCUACUGCCAUUUGGUAGAUAACCUUCUUAUCACACAGAAAAAUAUCAGUACAGACAAAUAGACCGCAAAGAAAAUGAGACCAUCAGCAAAGAAGAUAAAGAAGUUUGUACAAAGCAACUUUUUAUAAAUGGAUGGCUGUCAGGCAAAAAUAAAUUUCCUGUGGACAAGACCAAGAGCAAGGCAAGAGGAAAAUAAACAUGUUUAAAC
Long non-coding RNA from Homo sapiens (human), 1556 nucleotides. Ensembl annotates it as long intergenic non-protein coding RNA 343. The record is from Ensembl. Lineage: Eukaryota; Metazoa; Chordata; Mammalia; Primates; Hominidae.